CGCGAUUACUCUUAUAUAACUUUACUGAUGUGCUAAUGGUGUUGCGUCACCCUAUUCAUGAGAUCAAUUAGAUAAACGAAAGCACCAAUGUGCUUAUACAGAUCCAUUAAGAGUUUCGGCCUGAUUAACUACUGUAAUUGCACUGGAUGACAGGGAAGCAAAUGCACACUUCAAUUCCCCAAUCUGGCAUUCAAGACUAAGACAUUUUCUACACAAGUCUCUGUAAAUCCCCAGCCCAGGUUUCAUGGCAGCUUUAAAAUGCCAACCAUGGUCCUGGGUUUGAGGAACUUCAAACAACCAUUGAGAGUUGUCUGCCUCCUGACAUGGAUCUAAAUGAUGGUGAAUGAAACCCCUAAGAAUAUUGCCUCCAGGGCUGGUGGUGGUAAGAAGAAAAAUAGUUUAGUCGACACGUAACAGAUCAUGGAACAGCAAAACCAUCGACUUCUAAAACACAAUGAGGAUGUAACAGACACACUUUUCGAAUCUUUUUAUUUUCCUACUUAUGCACUUCAAAUUUAUUAGGAGUGAUAUUGUCAUGUGUAUCUUAGUCA
Eucalyptus grandis is the source of this 551-nucleotide long non-coding RNA. RefSeq lists it as uncharacterized. NCBI's taxonomy places the organism in Eukaryota, Viridiplantae, Streptophyta, Magnoliopsida, Myrtales, Myrtaceae. The record is from RefSeq and is a predicted model, not a curated record. The transcript has 2 exons.